UGUUGAUAUAAGACUUCACUGGAAAGUAAUUGUGGGUUGCACAGGUUGACCUUUGCAGGGUGCAGGUCUGACCAGCCGAGAAACAUGGGGCACCCAUUCAGUAGGAAACCCUGCAGACCAUCUCACUGAGCGUGCAAGUUCAGGAAUUUAUUUAAAAGGUUACUAUUAGUGGUUCAGUUGUCAAAGCUGGGGAUGUGGCAUUUUUACAUGGAGUGAAAUACAUGAUUUAAUUAUACUAAAAUGGAAAAGGAAAAAAAAAAAAAAAAUUAAGGACAGGCCUUCUGCACAAAUUGGAGGCAGUGAAAUGCUCUUUUGUGCCUGCAGCUCUAAGGAGGCUGUGAUGCAUGAGAAGGAAAGCGACUGACUUAACUCAUUGGGAUUCAGGGAACGACCUGCCCUCUUUUGGAAAAAAAAAAAAAAAAAAAUAGAAGAAGAAGGAGAAGGAGAAGAGUAAGUGUGCGUGUGUGUGUGUGCGUGUGCGUGCGUGUGCGUGCAUGUUCGUGUGAGAGAGUGGGAGAGGGGAGGGGGAGACACACACAGUGCUGCUUUCCUGAGCUGCCGCUUCCCAAGCAGAAACUAUCUGGAGAAACGCAGCGUCUUGGCUCUUUCCUGCAUUUACACAAUGAAACCACUGCUGUUUUUAUUCCUGCUAACGGGCUGCUUUUGUUUGCAUCCACUCCGAGGCAUGGACGAUGGGAACAAACAAGUGCUUAAAAUCAAAUAGACAAAAAAAAAAGAGAGAAAAAAUGCACAACUGCGCUGGGAUGCUGGGAUGAGGAUUACUCACUUUAGCUCUGACUGGACCCGGCCGGGUGGCACAAGGCUGGGAUUGUGCCGGAUUUCAAGGACACGGGAGAUGAUCGGGACUUUGGGAGCCAACAUCUGCCUGGCUGGUGACGUCAGCAGCCCCGUGUAAUCCUCUUGUACUGAAGGCAGAUGCCUUAUUUGUUUGGCUGGAGAGGCAUUAAUCCCUAAUUCUGGAGCAGCAAGCGAGGGGGAGAGACCGGACCGCUUCUUACCCCCCGACAGCCGCUCACAGGGCUCUCCUCCUCUCUGUGCUCUGCAGCUCCGGUUGGGCGUAGGACGAGCCAGCCCUCGGCAGGCGCCCGCACGCAGGAGCCGCGCUGCCGAGGGCGGGCCUGAGCCUUCUGCCCGCCUCGCCCCCGGAUGCCCCGGCAAGCGGCGGAACAGCCCCCGGGAAGCCCAGCUCGCCGCCGGAGCCCAGUGCAGCGCAACCUUCUCCCUCCCGGGCCCAGGCCCCCGGCAGCAGUCGAGGUCAGCCCGCACGGUUCGGGGGGUCCGGCCGGGUCGAUGCACCCGGCGCGCCGGCGGCACAGGGGCAGAACGGUCCCGUCUUGAGAGCUGAGAGACGGCUUCAACCGUAACGAUAAGAAUACAAAGCGAAGUCUGGUUUUUAAUUUUUUUUUUUUUAAUUAUUAUUAUUAUUCUAAUGAGUUCAUCCCUCAUUUCCUCGCUCGCACA
This 1482-nucleotide long non-coding RNA is filed under the name Coturnix japonica (Japanese quail). Its description in RNAcentral is "lncRNA (ENSCJPG00005011592.1)". The record is from RNAcentral. Lineage: Eukaryota; Metazoa; Chordata; Aves; Galliformes; Phasianidae.